UGAGAGGGGGAAAAUGGCGUCGGGGAGGAACCACCAGCAGGAAGAUGGCGAGCAGCUGAGGAAGAUGGUGGCAGAGGGGAAGAGGCAGCUGUCCACUCUGAAUCUUUUGGAUUCUGGUUGCAAAGGAACACAGAAUUGAAUUUUGGCUUGGCAGUCGAAAAGAAUUUCGCUUCAUUUUGAUCACAUAAUUUCCUUCCCUGCGUUGGUAGCUUCACAAGAUGAGUAUGGAAUUACUGUCACAGCUACUCAUUCUCAUUAGGCUGUAAAUGCAGCCCUGCCCCAAAAGGACCUCCUAUCAAGUCUGCUAUUAAAAUACCCAAAAACUUUAGAGCCAGAAGUGGCUUAAUCCUCCCGAUGUUGUGCUGCCUCAAGAUGAAGAAUGGCACAGCAGGCAAGACUGCAGAAAGGGAUGGGGUAUUCCUGGCUUUCUGGGAGCUGCAAAAAUGGAAGCCAUUGAAUUUCUGGUGCAACUGGGAAGGGCAAGGAAUAGUCUUGGUGAAAUUGCGCAUGAGGAAGUAAAGAGAAAUCAAACUCAAUGAAAGCACUCUACAAAGCCAGAGAUUUGGCUUCUUUUAUACUGCAUUCAUAAAAACUGCUCUGAGUUGGGGCAGGCAGUAUAUGAAGGAGCAAGGUCUUCCUCCCCAGCUAGAGAGGAGCAAGCUAGCUACACUACUUUCAAACACUAGAAAGCAACACACUGCAUACAGGCAAUAUGUUAUUCCUUCUCGUCAUGGUACAGAAAAGGAUAGCAUCAGACCCCUUGGCAAAAAUCUGAUUAAGCACAUUAUUACAAUUCUUUAUAAUGCGUGUGAACUACUGCUGGGAC
Chroicocephalus ridibundus (black-headed gull) is the source of this 826-nucleotide long non-coding RNA. RefSeq lists it as uncharacterized. The record is from RefSeq and is a predicted model, not a curated record. The transcript is spliced from 3 exons. NCBI's taxonomy places the organism in Eukaryota, Metazoa, Chordata, Aves, Charadriiformes, Laridae.